This 253-nucleotide ribosomal RNA is filed under the name uncultured bacterium. RNAcentral's name for it is "partial 16S ribosomal RNA". It matches the Rfam family "Bacterial small subunit ribosomal RNA", at positions 524 to 776 of the family's 1533-position model. The record is from RNAcentral.
UACGAAGGGUGCAAACGUUGCUCGGAAUCAUUGGGCGUAAAGCGCACGUAGGCGGCUUCGCAAGUCGGAUGUGAAAUCCCCAGGCUCAACCUGGGAACUGCGUCUGAUACUGGAUGGCUUGAAUCCGGGAGAGGGAUGCAGAAUUCCAGGUGUAGCGGUGAAAUGCGUAGAUAUCUGGAGGAAUACCGGUGGCGAAGGCGGCAUCCUGGACCGGCAUUGACGCUGAGGAGCGAAAGCGUGGGGAGCGAACAGG